Molecule: long non-coding RNA, 2631 nt
Organism: Strigops habroptila (Kakapo)
Lineage: Eukaryota; Metazoa; Chordata; Aves; Psittaciformes; Psittacidae
Source: Ensembl
CCGCGGGGCGUGAGCGGAAGAGGGCGCGGGCGCGCCCGGCCGUUCCCCCGCAGGCCGCGGUAGGUCGGCGGCGGCAAAGGGCGGGCAAGGCGGGCAGUGGCGGGCGGCUCCGCCCCGCCCCGCCCCGCCCCGCUGCUUCCCUGCCGGAUCCCUUCCCCUUCCUAUUGCAGAGCUCGACUGGGGUCCGUGUGUGCUCGCGCUUCGCGCCUCCCGCGCGUGGCUGCGGCCCGUGUUUCUGCGCGAGUGGCUGGGCCGUGCCGUGCCGUGCCGUGCCGUGGCUCCGCCGGCCCUCGCUGGCGAGGUGCUGCGCGUCUUGUGCUGUGCUAGGAGAGAGCCGCUGCUGGUGAAGAGCGUGGGGCAAGUAGUCUGCGCUAAGGCACCAGUGUGAGCUUCUGGCUGGCUUCCAGCGCCUUCCGCCCUGCUCUGCUCCGCUCCGCUCCGAACAGGGACGCGGCAGUGCCCUGGGCGAGGGAGGCCUGGCCUGGACUGGCCUGGCUGUCGCGUGCUGCCCUUUAGCUGAGUAAAACUGUACGGCUUCUCUUCGGGCAGGUACAAAUACAACAGGUGGGGUGCCAUCAGAAGAGUCGUAUUUGAGUAGCAUCAGUAAAAGAAAAAAAUCUUGGAUGGAUUCAAAGGAUGUGAAAGUAGAGAUGGCUGUUUCUGUACCUGUGUGAAGAUACUGUACCAGUAUUCAGUCCUCAGAAUAAUGGGAGAUCAAGGAAAAAUUUUCCAUUUAGAGCGCAACUUCAGAAUCCACAGGCCUUCAUCCUGCAGAUGUUCUACUCUACCAACAUAUGAUGAACUAAAAACCUCAACCAAACAACUCUACAGCUUGGAUUGAAUUGAAAAUAAAUAUUCUGAAGAUGGCUAUUAACUCAUGUUCUUCUGUUGUAAGGUCAGUGAAAAAGUGAUUCGAUUUUUUUGUACUAGAGAUAGAAGUAUAAAAUAAGUGUGCAAAUGAGGGAGGGGAAAGCUCACAGUAGAAGUUAAAAUGUAGAAUUUAAAGGAUAUCCUGCUUUAUGUAUUUGUUAUCUACAGGGCCAGGUAAAGGACAAUAGAAUUGCUUUUGCAUACUGUAGGAAUGAAGUUAUUAACUACUUACAGGUUAGGAUGAUUAUUACCAAGCUGUGCUAAAUCAAAGCUGCAAAUUAGAGGAAUAUACUGGUUUUAUCACCAGAAACUUCAGUGUAGGGGGUGUAUGAGUAUUCUGGAGGGGAAAAGAAAUUACACUUUUGCAUUAUAUUGUUCUAAUCCUUUGUCCUCUGUUGUCUGUUAUUUCUGUAAUUUUAUUUGUGGCUUGAAGCUGUAGGAUGUUAACAGGCAUAAGGAAACUUACCCAGAGGUAGAAUUAGUGUGGUUUGCUUUCAGUGUUAGAGGGAUUAAGUGAACACUUGAUGAAACUGUAUUUGUAGGUAACUUUUAAAACCAGGGAUUUAGGCAUCUGGCUGCCAUUAGUAUUCAGGAGUGAUAGGAAGCUGAAGCUGUCUCACCCUUUUUAAAUUACUUUGGCCUAAUGCUUAGCUGAUUAUCAUGAUGAGUGAAUAGUGAAAUAUGGAAUGAAAAUAAUGAAUACUUCUUAGGUAUUUUAGGGGUAAUGUAAGACCAUGUAUAUAGCAUAACACAAUGUUCAUAAGAGUAACUAUUGGAGGAGGAUUUGUAAAGCUAUUUUUAGUUUUGUCAUAUGUGUAGCAGAUGACUAGAGAUUAACAAACUGCUAAUGACAUAGUUGUUCAUUUUAAAAACCUUUAAAUUGAGAAUUCUGUCUACUGUUUAGAUCAGGAGAAGUACGCUGUGUACCAUACAUAAUUCGUUUCUUGUAAUAGGUAUAUUAAACUUUAGUUGCAGUGUCUUGCAGAUGUAAAACUUGCUGAUGUAGUUGCUGGUUUUUAAUAGAUCAGACUCUGACCAUUUCAUAGAUAAAAAGCUAGGCUUUCAUUGGCUGUUAUGAAUAGAGCACCUUUCCGCAAAUGAAGAAAUGGUGUAAUAAUUAACAGGUAUAAUGGAUAUGUGCAUUCAGGUUUCAGUUAUACCUUUAUAAGCUUUAGCUCCUGUUAUCUUUGGUGUAGUUAACCCCCUGUCUGCCCAUACGUAAUUUAACUUCAGCACAAAAAUAGAUUUGUUCUGUUGCCGCAACAUUUUGCUAAUAUGAUAGUUUUUGCUCAUUUUCUAAGAUCUGUAAUGAGUUGUACUUUUGGAUUUUUUUCCUUAAAACAAGGCACAGAACUUCACUAACAAAACUCAUUAAAUAAGUAAUAAUAGUGUUCUAAACAAGCAUAGCAAAGAUUCUUUAAACAAUUUUACAGACAGAGAAUCUACCCAAACUUUAAUUUUUUUCUGAUUUGCAGACUUAAAUGAUAAGUAUUGAUGAUUCCUGGUACUGGGGUUUGGUAUCUUUAACCUAAAAGGUAACUCAGAAAUUGCCAAAGCAGGUUAUUCGAUAGUGGACUUGUUAACUGAAACAGGAGGCGGGCAGAGGUCACAGAACAUUCCUAAGCUCUAAAUAAAGGUAGGAAGGGAAAAUGAGAAUUUUAGGGUUUUAAAAUAUAAAUAUUUUAGUUGCAAAAAUUUAUUGAAUAACAUCAAGAUUAAAUUGCUUUGAUGUAAUAUGCUUGCACUGCAAAAUAUGAAUCA